CUCUAACAACAGACAACUGAGCUCUCUUUCUCUCUCUUGCCUGCUGUGAUGUAAGACAUGUCUUUCGCCUUCUGCCAUGAUUGUGAGGCUUCCUCAGCCAUAUGGAACUGACACCUGAUGGAAUAAACUGCUGUGAGAGGGAGUAUUGAGAAACCUCCAGGAUCCUAUGAGUGAUGAUGGAGAACAUAUGGAGGGUAGAAAGAUGUGGCAUAUCACCUCACACCAUGUUCAUAAGAACCUUUUCAGCAGAAGAUUCUCAAAUAUGAAUUACAUGCUUUUCAGGAGCCAUUUCCUCAUCAUAAGGAUGCAGUAGCCAUAAUUAUUCCAAUCAUCCAAAAGAGAAGACUUUAAAGUACAGUAGUUAGCCAUCCAAAAGAGAAGGCUAAUAUCCAUUUAUGAGAGCAUUUUCCCAAGUGAAUUUUGACCAGACUGAGACAUACUACAAAGGACAGUUGCCAGAAACAACACCCAAAGAUACUUCUCCCCUGGACCUUGUUCCCAGGCUCUGUGCAAAGCUGCACACUCUGCAUGAUCUCCCUGCCACCACAGCAAGCUAUGAAGUUCAUUACACAUGCAGUCUUUGGCUACCAGUGAUCCUUUUUGCCUAUCCCUUGGGAGACUUGGGAAGGACAAAGAAGAGACAAGAAUCAGUGUAACAUUUAAACAACAGUGCAACUGUGCUGUGAGAGCCAUCUCAACGUGAUGUCCUAAGUAGCCAGUGUUUCCUUCGCAACAUGACAAUGGCAAACAAAGAUGUUUUCUGGAUGGCUGAAGCAAAUGUGAUUUUUAUGCUCAGGCCAUCCCUCUGCCCUUAAGCCCCUACCAUGGGUUAAAAUUUUUUUUUUUUCUUUUUUCUAUGAAUUUUCUACAUGGAGAUAGGUGAAGUGAGACAUUAUUUUCUUCUUCUGUUUAUUUUUUAUGUUACACAAUUUCAAAAUGCUGGAAAUUUCGUUGAAACACCACUCACUGCAGAGAAUAUAAGCUUGCAUAUUGAAUUCUAAAAUCCCCCUGUUGUGUGGCAUUGCUAAGAAUGCACGAGGGGAAAUUCUGUUGUGUGAAAUCCCAGGGUUAUGACAAGUUUGACAAGAUGAGCUUGAUUGACCUUACCUCACGUGGUCACACAGGCAAAUCUACCAUCGAGGUUCUCAAAAACAGAUAAGGCAGAUGAGGAAUGGCCCUCUUGAGAAGAACGCUGAUUUGUUGUAACCUGAGUAGAAAAAAAUAAAUCUGGGAGAUUUAAAACAUUGUUUAAUGAGUAAAAUAAUGCGAUGUGAAGAAUGCUGGAGGACAGGGAAAUAUUUGGGGUUUUAUAAUUCCUCUCUAAGCCCCACAGUAAAAGUUACAAAUCAUUAUUGUUUAGUAAAAAUCACAUGCAUUUUAAAAAAUUUCAACUGGGGCAGAAGGAUGGGAAGAAAUAAGUAUAUUCAUUAAAAUGUUUAUUGGUGAGCUGUGGCUGUUUUUCAUGAGCCACUGACAUCUAUUCUAAUACACAGGCAAAGAAAAUCCUCAAAGGCAAUGCUCAAUGAGAUCUUGGCAAUAUUUUUCACUUAGGAAGGAUUAAUUUCUAUGAAGGAAAGCUUUUUAAAAACAUGAAAUAAUGAGCUCUAAAUGUAUGUCCUUGUCGGGCACAUUAGCACAAAUGGCUUGGACUAUUUCCUAGAGGAAAAUUAGAUGCUUGGUGGGAUGUAGGAGUAGAGGGAGUACAUUUUGAUUGGAGUCAAGAUUGGGAAAAAAUGAUUGGGAUUUAGGAUUGGGUGAAGGUGAGCCUGAAUGAUCCUCAGCUAACAAGCCUGGGUCAAAGACUGUGAUCUGUAGAGAGAAAAAACUGCAGAGAGGAAGGAACUAGAGACCAGCUUUGUGUAAACCCUCCUGUCCAGGAUAAAGCUAAUUUCUCUGCCUGCUGAAUUACAGCCUAAAAAAGCAAAUUCAGUUAUUUGCAAGCUAUGUUUCCCAGUCAAACUACUAAAACCCAAUUCUAUGAUUACAAAGAAAGGGAGAAAGACAGAGAUUGACUUUUGGCAUCUAAAAACACAUGUCUCCCACUACUCAAUUGUGACUGCUCAGAGAGAACAACUCUCUGUCAAUGGAAACUGAGGGGUUGUGGGAAAAAUAAUGUGAUGAUGGGCAACAAGAUGGCAAAAAGGAGGAGAGGAGUUCAUAGAGAUAAGAAGUGAUCAGAGAAAAGAAAAACAAGAAUUCAAUAGUUUCCAAAUGUCUUGUCUGUUUCUUCUUUUAUCCUGUCUCCUCUCCACCUACCCUUCCAUGAUUGCUGCAGGUAUACACAUAGAGUACUUUAAUUUGUGAGCAUCUGUUCACCCGAUUUGAAUUCCAUAUUCUCUAGGGGAAAUACUGUGAUGCAAUGAGCAUAAAAUGAGUUGCAGUACCAUUAGGAGCAACAAAGGUGGGGAGGGGGUCUCUUACCUGAGGUGCUGCUUUGAAAAUAUCCUCUAAUACUCUUGGCUUUCCUAAUUAAGUGCUAUCACCUCUGCAGAUGGUAAAAUUAUGUAUGUAUUUUGCUGAAUUCCCUUAGCAAGGACGCUUUCAUUGGGGAAGUUUAAUAAGAAUGAUAUUCUUUGAGGGAAAAAAAAAACCACUGGCUACUUAUGGUAUCACAUUGAGAUGGCUAUCACGGCACGAUUGCAGUGUUGUUUAAAUGUUACAUUGAUUUUUGUCUCUUUUCUGUCCUUCCCAAGUCCCCUGAGGGGUAGGCAAAAAGGAUUUCUGGUAGCCUUUCCCCACUGGAACCUGGAAAUUUAAUUCAAUAAGAUCUCACUGGAAUCUAAACAUUUAAGUCCAAGUAAAUAUCACCUAAAAGUUAUUUUUAAA
This is a long non-coding RNA of Symphalangus syndactylus (siamang), 2826 nucleotides long. RefSeq lists it as uncharacterized. Lineage: Eukaryota; Metazoa; Chordata; Mammalia; Primates; Hylobatidae. The record is from RefSeq and is a predicted model, not a curated record.